RNAcentral lists this long non-coding RNA (246 nucleotides) under Setaria viridis. RNAcentral describes it as "long non-coding RNA (SVIR_LNC010035)". Lineage: Eukaryota; Viridiplantae; Streptophyta; Magnoliopsida; Poales; Poaceae. The record is from RNAcentral.
GGGCAUACACCCCAGGUCCACAAGUAGGCCUUGGACGGCCCACCAAGGGACGUACUCGGACAAGAUUAGAACAAGGAUGGGCGUAUCCUACUCGGACUAGUCAAGUAUGUUUAUGAAAAACUACUCGGGCCAUUACCGAGUAGAACUCUAUAAUAGUACCUGACUAGGACUCAGACUUGUAACCCUGCCCUCCUGUGUAUAUAAGGGCGGGCAGGGACCCCUCCCCCCUCAAGAACACGCCUGGAC